This is a long non-coding RNA of Syzygium oleosum, 486 nucleotides long. RefSeq lists it as uncharacterized. The transcript has 3 exons. The record is from RefSeq and is a predicted model, not a curated record. Lineage: Eukaryota; Viridiplantae; Streptophyta; Magnoliopsida; Myrtales; Myrtaceae.
GGCCAGGGAGAAGAGAUCGCAGCAGCAGCACGCGGUCGACGAGAAGUACACCCGGCGGAAGUCCCUCGUCCCCGUCCUCUACGACUGGCUGGCCAACCACAACCUCCUCUGGCGUUCUCUCUCUUGCCGAAACUAUAUCGAAAUUUGGAGCAGGACUGUUUCUGUUGGUCCAAGUAAUUAUCCUGCUAGACUUCACUCAUUCGUGGAAUGAUGCAUGGGUUGCAAAAGAUGAACAGAAAUGGUAUGUUGCUUUGCUGGUGAUAUUAGUUGGGUGCUAUAUUGCAGCCUACACUCUCUUUGGGAUUUUGUUCAUAUGGUUUAAUCCUUCUGGUGAGGACUAUGGCCUCAAUGUCUUCUUCCUUGUUAUGACAAUGGUCCUUGGCUUUGUAAAUGGAAUUGUUCACCCUGUGGUAAGAAAAGCAUGCUCUUGAAUACUUGUGUAUUAGAUUUGUAGACCUUUUUAAUAAUGAUAUUUGAAUAAUUGUA